CUUGACAUCCAGAGAACUUGGCAGAGAUGCCUCGGUGCCUUCGGGAACUCUGAGACAGGUGCUGCAUGGCUGUCGUCAGCUCGUGUUGUGAAAUGUUGGGUUAAGUCCGCAACGAGCGCAACCCCUAUCCUUUGUUGCCAGCGAUUCGGUCGGGAACUCAAAGGAGACUGCCGGUGAUAAACCGGAGGAAGGUGGGGAUGACGUCAAGUCAUCAUGGCCCUUACGAGUAGGGCUACACACGUGCUACAAUGGCGUAUACAAAGAGAAGCGACCUCGCGAGAGCAAGCGGACCUCAUAAAGUACGUCGUAGUCCGGAUUGGAGUCUGCAACUCGACUCCAUGAAGUCGGAAUCGCUAGUAAUCGUAGAUCAGAAUGCUACGGUGAAUACGUUCCCGGGCCUUGUACACACCGCCCGUCACACCAUGGGAGUGGGUUGCAAAAGAAGUAGAUAGCUUAACCUUCGGGAGGGCGUUUACCACUUUGUGAUUCAUGACUGGGGUGAAGUCGUAACAAGGUAGGCGUAGCGAG
RNAcentral lists this ribosomal RNA (528 nucleotides) under uncultured bacterium. Its description in RNAcentral is "bacterial SSU rRNA". It matches the Rfam family "Bacterial small subunit ribosomal RNA", at positions 980 to 1509 of the family's 1533-position model. The record is from RNAcentral.